This 465-nucleotide ribosomal RNA is filed under the name uncultured bacterium. Its description in RNAcentral is "partial 16S ribosomal RNA". It matches the Rfam family "Bacterial small subunit ribosomal RNA", at positions 28 to 507 of the family's 1533-position model. The record is from RNAcentral.
GACGAACGCUGGCGGCGUGCUUAACACAUGCAAGUCGAACGGAAAGGCCCCUUUGGGGGUACUCGAGUGGCGAACGGGUGAGUAACAUGUGAGUAACCUGCCCUUGACUUCGGGAUAACUUCAGGAAACUGGGGCUAAUACCGGAUAGGAAUCCUUGCUGCCUGGUGGGGGUUGGAAAGCUUCGGCGGUUUUGGAUGGACUCGCGGCUUAUCAGCUUGUUGGUGGGGUAGUGGCUUACCAAGGCUUUGACGGGUAGCCGGCCUGAGAGGGCGACCGGCCACAUUGGGACUGAGAUACGGCCCAGACUCCUACGGGAGGCAGCAGUGGGGAAUAUUGCACAAUGGGCGGAAGCCUGAUGCAGCAACGCCGCGUGCGGGAUGACGGCCUUCGGGUUGUAAACCGCUUUCAGCAGGGGCGAAGCUUGUGGUGACGGUACCUGCAGAAGAAGCACCGGCUAACUACGUG